CGUGGGUAACCUGCCCAAGAGAUCGGGAUAACACCUGGAAACAGAUGCUAAUACCGGAUAACAACAGAUGAUGCCUAUCAACUGUUUAAAAGAUGGUUCUGCUAUCACUCUUGGAUGGACCUGCGGUGCAUUAGCUAGUUGGUAGGGUAACGGCCUACCAAGGCGAUGAUGCAUAGCCGAGUUGAGAGACUUAUCGGCCACAUUGGGACUGAGACACGGCCCAAACUCCUACGGGAGGCAGCAGGC
RNAcentral lists this ribosomal RNA (246 nucleotides) under uncultured Lactobacillus sp. RNAcentral's name for it is "partial 16S ribosomal RNA". It matches the Rfam family "Bacterial small subunit ribosomal RNA", at positions 116 to 354 of the family's 1533-position model. Lineage: Bacteria; Bacillati; Bacillota; Bacilli; Lactobacillales; Lactobacillaceae. The record is from RNAcentral.